CGGGGUGAGUAACGCGUGGGGAACCUGCCUCAUACAGGGGAAUAACAGAUGGAAACGUCUGCUAAUGCCGCAUAAGCGCACACUGUGGCAUCACAGAGUGUGAAAAACUCCGGUGGUAUGAGAUGGCCCCGCGUCUGAUUAGGCAGUUGGCGGGGUAACGGCCCACCAAACCGACGAUCAGUAGCCGACCUGAGAGGGUGACCGGCCACAUUGGGACUGAGACACGGCCCAAACUCCUACGGAAGGCAGCAG
RNAcentral lists this ribosomal RNA (252 nucleotides) under uncultured bacterium. RNAcentral describes it as "partial 16S ribosomal RNA". It matches the Rfam family "Bacterial small subunit ribosomal RNA", at positions 100 to 354 of the family's 1533-position model. The record is from RNAcentral.